This 458-nucleotide ribosomal RNA is filed under the name uncultured bacterium. RNAcentral's name for it is "partial 16S ribosomal RNA". It matches the Rfam family "Bacterial small subunit ribosomal RNA", at positions 29 to 507 of the family's 1533-position model. The record is from RNAcentral.
AGCGAACGCUGGCGGCAGGCCUAACACAUGCAAGUCGAACGAACUCUUCGGAGUUAGUGGCGGACGGGUGAGUAACACGUGGGAACGUGCCUUUAGGUUCGGAAUAACUCAGGGAAACUUGUGCUAAUACCGAAUGUGCCCUUCGGGGGAAAGAUUUAUCGCCUUUAGAGCGGCCUGCGUCUGAUUAGCUAGUUGGGGAGGUAAAGGCUCACCAAGGCGACGAGCAGUAGCUGGUCUGAGAGGAAGAUCAGCCACAUUGGAACGGAGACACGGGCCAGACUCCGGAGGGAGGCAGCAGUGGGGAAUAUUGGACAAGGGGCGAAAGCCGGAUCCAGCCAUGGCGCGUGUGGGAAGAAGGUCUUCGGAUUGGAAAGCACGUUAAGUGGGGAGGAAGGGCAGUAAGUUAAUACCUUGCUGUGUGGACGUUACCAACAGAAGAAGCACCGGCUAACUUCGUG